AUAAUAAGUAACACCUGCUCAAUGAAAUAUUAAAUAGCCGCGGAAAUUUAACCGUGCUAAGGUAGCAUAAUCAUUAGCCCCUUAAUUAGGGGCUCGUAUGAAUGGUGUAACAUUUCAAUUACUCUAUUAACUAUAUUAUUUUAAUUUAAAUUAAGAAUAAAAAUGUUCUUAUUAAACAAUUAGACGACAAGACCCUUUUGAACUUUACUUUUGUUUAGCUGGGGCAGCUAAAAAAUAAUAAUCUUUAUAUCUUAAUAGUUAAAUAAAAGACCCAAUAUAAUUGAUUAUUUGAACAAGUUACCAUAGGGAUAACAGCGUAAUAUUUUUCUAAAGUUCUUAUUUAAAAAAUUGAUUGCGACCUCGAUGUUGAAUUAAUGUAACUUUAUAAAUGCAGUAAUUUUAAAAGUAGGUCUGUUCGACCUUUAAAUCAUUACGUGAUC
Molecule: ribosomal RNA, 440 nt
Filed under: Neoscona vigilans
Lineage: Eukaryota; Metazoa; Arthropoda; Arachnida; Araneae; Araneidae
Description: partial 16S ribosomal RNA
Rfam family: Bacterial large subunit ribosomal RNA
Source: RNAcentral